GACGAACGCUGGCGGCGUGCUUAACACAUGCAAGUCGAACGGUGAAAGCGGAGCUUGCUCCGCUGGAUCAGUGGCGAACGGGUGAGUAACACGUGGGCAACCUGCCCCUCACUUCGGGAUAACUCCGGGAAACCGGGGCUAAUACCGGAUAUGACCUCCUUGGGCAUCCUUGGAGGUGGAAAGUUUUUCGGUGAGGGAUGGGCCCGCGGCCUAUCAGCUUGUUGGUGAGGUAGUGGCUCACCAAGGCGACGACGGGUAGCCGGCCUGAGAGGGGGACCGGCCACACCGGGACUGAGACACGGCCCAGACUCCUACGGGAGGCAGCAGUGGGGAAUAUUGCGCAAUGGGCGAAAGCCUGACGCAGCAACGCCGCGUGCGGGAUGACGGCCUUCGGGUUGUAAACCGCUUUCAGCAGGGAAGAAGCCGCAAGGUGACGGUACCUGCAGAAGAAGCACCGGCUAACUACGUGCCAGCCGCCGCGGUAA
Molecule: ribosomal RNA, 485 nt
Filed under: uncultured bacterium
Lineage: Bacteria
Description: partial 16S ribosomal RNA
Rfam family: Bacterial small subunit ribosomal RNA
Source: RNAcentral